This 253-nucleotide ribosomal RNA is filed under the name uncultured bacterium. RNAcentral describes it as "partial 16S ribosomal RNA". It matches the Rfam family "Bacterial small subunit ribosomal RNA", at positions 524 to 776 of the family's 1533-position model. The record is from RNAcentral.
UACGGAGGGAGCUAGCGUUGUUCGGAAUUACUGGGCGUGAAGCGCACGUAGGCGGCGACUCAAGUCAGAGGUGAAAGCCCGGGGCUCAACCCCGGAACUGCCUUUGAAACUAGGUUGCUAGAAUCUUGGAGAGGUCAGUGGAAUUCCGAGUGUAGAGGUGAAAUUCGUAGAUAUUCGGAAGAACACCAGUGGCGAAGGCGGCUCACUGGUCCGGUACUGACGCUGAGGUGCGAAAGCGUGGGGAGCAAACAGG